Molecule: long non-coding RNA, 1155 nt
Organism: Mauremys reevesii (Reeves's turtle)
Lineage: Eukaryota; Metazoa; Chordata; Testudines; Geoemydidae
Exons: 3
Source: RefSeq, a predicted model, not a curated record
UUUCUGAGAUGAGCUUUGCAAAUUGCUUGCAUAAAGGCAACCAAGUGACUAUACUCUAAAAGCCUUCCUUAAGUAUUUCACACACAUUACUGCACUUCUAAAAGAGACAGCACAGAAAAAGAAUUUGAACAAAGGCUACUCUGAGUUCAGCCUUUCGGCUUCUAUGUUAUGAAUAUUGAUAAGGUGCCAUUCUCAACAGCAGGAAGUCUGAUGUUCAGCCAGGACAGCAGAGAAUCACAUUAUUCUUUAGCUGGUUGGAUAAAGAAUACACUGCUGCGUGAUAGGAUGUGCCAUAUUAGCCUGUGACAAUCAGAAGACAUUGUUUGCUUUCCUAGGAUGCUACCAUGAUUACUGGAGGUGGUAUCUUUCAAUGACUUCCAUUAUCAUCUAAUUGAGUGCUUUUACUAUUGCUUGCCCACAUCAGUGGUGAAAAGAACAAUUUUCAUCAGUGUCUCUAAGCAACUUUCGAACCAAGACUUUCAUUACUGGAAUUUCAACAGUAGAGACGUACAAUCCUGAAGAAAUACUAUACUAGUAUACUAUACUAGUAUUGAAGGAGUGACUGGAAAUCAGUAUUUUGUACCCUUGAAAAUAGUGUAAAUUCUACAGCUAUUUUUACAAAUAUUUUUCAAAUGAGGAUAAGAGCUCUCAUGGCUAUAGGAAGCAUUAUUUACAAGUGUUUACUGUUCGGGCCCAAUUCAUCAUUAGUUGCAACUCCAUUUAAAUCAACAGUGUUAGAUUGCGUGAAUCUGAGUCCUUCUUUUUAGCCAUUCAUGGCUAUCUCAUACAAAGUUGCACUAUUUUUAUGUGUGGGCUGGUAGUGUUUGUGGCAGGCAAAGGUAGGAAAACAUGCAAUGGUAACAGCAAAGAAAAUAGUAACAACAGUGUGUCUUGCUUCAAAAUCAUCACUUUUUAUAACCGGUAAUGUUCACCUUUUCUCACUAUCUAAAGACCAUGUUGAAUGACUAUUUUAAAACUAAAUUUUAGUACAGUGAACAAGCCAGAUUCUAUUGCUAAUUAGACCAAUGCAAAUCAGGUAUCAUUCCACUGUAGUAACCAGCAUAACACCAGAAUUAGUAAAGAAUCGGAGCUAAGCUCCCUACCUCUGUUUGCACAUUUGAGACAUUUGUUGCAAAUUGCAUCACACAUGUUGAA